Molecule: long non-coding RNA, 325 nt
Organism: Stomoxys calcitrans (stable fly)
Lineage: Eukaryota; Metazoa; Arthropoda; Insecta; Diptera; Muscidae
Exons: 2
Source: RefSeq, a predicted model, not a curated record
UAUCAAUCAACUGGGCUUUAAAAUACUCGUACUGGUAGAUAAUAACACAUUACCAUAAUUUUCAUCAGACAAUCUGUUGAAUGAAUGAAAUCGUUAUCAAGAAUUGCGAUUUCUUGCAAUGCCAAUCGUAAAAUCAUGCUGAUGACACUUUAAAUGGAUUUCGAAGUAAUUGACAUUCAGGCGUACUUACAUAUGGUUUGCACAGAUACAAUGUGAUGUACAUAAAUGAAUUUUUAAAAUUAAUUAAUCUAUGAAUGCUGUUGAUAGUUCUUGUAACAACACAUUCCCCAAAUAAUUUCGCAAGAAUUGCGCGAUCUAGGAAUGA